CAGCAGCCGCGGUAAAACAGAGGGUGCGAGCGUUAAUCGGAUUUACUGGGCGUAAAGCGUGCGUAGGCGGCUUUUUAAGUCGGAUGUGAAAUCCCUGAGCUUAACUUAGGAAUUGCAUUCGAUACUGGGAAGCUAGAGUAUGGGAGAGGAUGGUAGAAUUCCAGGUGUAGCGGUGAAAUGCGUAGAGAUCUGGAGGAAUACCGAUGGCGAAGGCAGCCAUCUGGCCUAAUACUGACGCUGAGGUACAAAAGCAUGGGGAGCAAACAGGAUUAGAUACCCGCGUAGUCCCUGUCUCUUAUAA
Molecule: ribosomal RNA, 301 nt
Filed under: uncultured bacterium
Lineage: Bacteria
Description: partial 16S ribosomal RNA
Rfam family: Bacterial small subunit ribosomal RNA
Source: RNAcentral